This 484-nucleotide ribosomal RNA is filed under the name uncultured bacterium. RNAcentral's name for it is "partial 16S ribosomal RNA". It matches the Rfam family "Bacterial small subunit ribosomal RNA", at positions 29 to 507 of the family's 1533-position model. The record is from RNAcentral.
AUUGAACGCUGGCGGAAUGCUUUACACAUGCAAGUCGAGCGGCAGCGCGGCCUUCGGGCUGGCGGCGAGCGGCGAACGGGUGAGUAAUGCAUCGGAACAUGCCCAGUCGUGGGGGAUAACACUUCGAAAGAAGUGCUAAUACCGCGUACGUCCUGAGGGGGAAAGCGGGGGAUCGCAAGACCUCGCGCGAUUGGAGUGGCCGAUGUCAGAUUAGCUAGUUGGUGGGGUAAAGGCCUACCAAGGCGACGAUCUGUAGCUGGUCUGAGAGGAUGAUCAGCCACACUGGGACUGAGACACGGCCCAGACUCCUACGGGAGGCAGCAGUGGGGAAUUUUGGACAAUGGGGGCAACCCUGAUCCAGCCAUGCCGCGUGAGUGAAGAAGGCCUUCGGGUUGUAAAGCUCUUUCGGCAGGAACGAAACGGUGGGCUCUAACAUAGUCCGCUAAUGACGGUACCUGAAGAAGAAGCACCGGCUAACUACGUG